AUGAACCGGGCCCUGGUCAUUUUGCUCCCAAAAAGUAACCAGGCGCGCUCCCCUGCGGACUUCCGACCCAUCUCCCUGCAGAACUGCCCUAUUAAGGGUAUAGCAAAACUUCUGACCAACCGGCUAAAACCUCUAAUCCCUCUCCUGGUCCACGUUGAUCAAACGGGGUUUAUCUCUGGGCGCAAUAUCUCCGAAAACUUCCUCUAUGCCGCUGAUAUUCUUCACUGUUGUGCCAAGCGCAAAGCUCCCACUCUUGUGAUCAAGCUUGAUUUUCGUAAGGCCUUCGACUCUGUCUGUUGGACGUCACUCCUGCACACUCUAAAGAUUAGGGGUCUCCCUGAUCGUUGGUGUGACUAGAUCAAAGCACUCCUUGCCACCGGAUCCACUGCCGUUAUGCUUAACGGAGUUCCUGCUAGAUGGAUCCAGUGCAAAAAUGGUCUCCGCCAAGGAGAUCCACUCUCCCCCUAUCUCUUCAUCAUCAUUGUAGACAUCCUGCAACAAUUGAUCAUUAAAGCUAAUAAUGAUGGGCUCCUAUUCCACCCCCUCUGCCCGCAUCUCCCCUACCCCGUCUUGCAAUACGCUGAUGAUACCCUCAUCAUCCUAAAAGCUACUCCCGAUGUUGCAAAACACCUAAAAGCGAUCCUUGACGAUUUUGCUGCGGCCACUGGACUCCAAAUCAACUUCACAAAGAUGACCUUCAUCCUCCUGAACAUUGAUCCUGCUGUCGUGGUUCUAAGUCUGACAGUAGUGUAG
This 753-nucleotide ribosomal RNA is filed under the name Triticum aestivum (bread wheat). RNAcentral describes it as "partial small subunit ribosomal RNA". The record is from RNAcentral. Lineage: Eukaryota; Viridiplantae; Streptophyta; Magnoliopsida; Poales; Poaceae.